AACGUAGGACACAAGCGUUAUCCGGAGUUACUGGGCGUAAAGAGCGCGUAGGCGGUUUGUUAAGUCUGCUAUGAAAGCUCUCGGCUAAACUGAGAGAGGCUGGCGGAUACUGGCAAGCUAGAGUGAGACAGAGGCAGAUGGAAUUCCGCGUGUAGUGGUGAAAUGCGUAGAGAUGCGGAGGAACACCAGUGGCGAAGGCGGUCUGCUGGGUCUCAACUGACGCUGAGGCGCGAAAGCGUGGGGAGCGAACGGG
This 253-nucleotide ribosomal RNA is filed under the name uncultured bacterium. Its description in RNAcentral is "partial 16S ribosomal RNA". It matches the Rfam family "Bacterial small subunit ribosomal RNA", at positions 524 to 776 of the family's 1533-position model. The record is from RNAcentral.